This 815-nucleotide ribosomal RNA is filed under the name uncultured Bacteroidota bacterium. RNAcentral describes it as "bacterial SSU rRNA". It matches the Rfam family "Bacterial small subunit ribosomal RNA", at positions 62 to 869 of the family's 1533-position model. Lineage: Bacteria; Pseudomonadati; Bacteroidota. The record is from RNAcentral.
UCGAGGGGCAGCGGGAUUGAAGCUUGCUUCAAUUGCCGGCGACCGGCGCACGGGUGAGUAACGCGUAUCCAACCUUCCGUACACUCAGGGAUAGCCUUUCGAAAGAAAGAUUAAUACCUGAUGGUAUGAUGAGAUUGCAUGAUAGCAUCAUUAAAGAUUUAUCGGUGUACGAUGGGGAUGCGUUCCAUUAGGUAGUAGGCGGGGUAACGGCCCACCUAGCCAACGAUGGAUGGGGGUUCUGAGAGGAAGGUCCCCCACAUUGGAACUGAGACACGGUCCAAACUCCUACGGGAGGCAGCAGUGAGGAAUAUUGGUCAAUGGACGAGAGUCUGAACCAGCCAAGUAGCGUGAAGGAUGAAGGUCCUACGGAUUGUAAACUUCUUUUAUAAGGGAAUAAACCCUCCCACGUGUGGGAGCUUGUAUGUACCUUAUGAAUAAGCAUCGGCUAACUCCGUGCCAGCAGCCGCGGUAAUACGGAGGAUGCGAGCGUUAUCCGGAUUUAUUGGGUUUAAAGGGAGCGCAGACGGGUCGUUAAGUCAGCUGUGAAAGUUUGGGGCUCAACCUUAAAAUUGCAGUUGAUACUGGCGUCCUUGAGUGCGGUUGAGGUGUGCGGAAUUCGUGGUGUAGCGGUGAAAUGCUUAGAUAUCACGAAGAACUCCGAUUGCGAAGGCAGCACACUAAUCCGUAACUGACGUUCAUGCUCGAAAGUGUGGGUAUCAAACAGGAUUAGAUACCCUGGUAGUCCACACGGUAAACGAUGGAUACUCGCUGUUGGCGAUAUACUGUCAGCGGCUUAGCGAAAGCGUUAAGUAUCC